CUUUGCCUCAGUUUUAAUUGCUCCUCAAAAAAUAGGGUAUUUGGGUGGGAGAGAGGGGAAACUGGGUGAUGGGCAUUGAGGAGGGCACUUGUUGGGAUGAGUACUGGGUGUUGUAUGUAAGCCAAUUUGACAAUAAAUUAUAUUUUUUAAACAACAGGGUUUUUGUUAUGUAUUAUAUACGUUAACAUACAUGUAUUUGGUACUAGUGUGUUUGCUACCAUUUUUAAAGACUGGCUCACCAGUGUACCAUAAAGUGAUCCACAUGUUGCUGGGCACAUAGUAGGAGUUUAGUAAAUAUCUGUUAAUCAUUGAAUACUGAAACCAGCUUUUUCUAAUGGAUUAUCCAAGUUUCUUGUGCUUUACUGACGAUUCUCUGUGGAAACACAAAAUAGUUCUUCACCAUCAUGACCUAUAUGCUAGUCUGCUAGUUCCCUCUUUCAGAGGCCCUGGGAAAUCACAUUUACUUUGGUAAGCCCCUAGAGUACAGUGCUCUGCCUUGAAAAGCUACUUCUUAACUGUCCCUUCCACCCCCACCCUGAGGGUGCAGCCUCAGUGGGCACUCUGGUCACCAGGAUGUGAAAUGCAGUCAAAGAAUAGAGGGGGGAGGGAGGCAGUGAGAGAGUAGAUGGGCACUCAUGACAGACUGUCUCCUUUUGCCUUACUCUUUAUAUCCUUAUUAAUCUGGGAGUCCUCUCGCCUCAUGUCCUUUCUGGAACAAAGCAGGGUCUAAAUAAAAUGUCAACAAUGUUUUUCUACUCUACCUACUUCUCUAGCUUCCCAGGUUAUUUUGAAAUCUGAUCUGAUUCUUGGAGGCCAAGACUCACUGAUUAGAACAUUUGAUGAGCUUUGUCCUUUCAUCUCAUCUGAAUCCCUAGAAGUAGGCCCAGGGUAAACAUUUGACCAUUCUUGGCCUAAGGUGUGGAAAUUUGGUGUUAAGGGCUGAAUUUUGUCUCCCCGCCAAAUUCGCGUGUUGAAGUCCCAACCCACAGCACCUCAGAAUGUGUCUACAGACACAUUGGAGAUAGGGCCUUUAAAUAGGUAAUCAUGUUAAAAUGAGGUCCUUAGGAUGGGCCCUAAUCCAGUAUGACUGAUGCCGUUAUAAGAAAAGGGAAACCAAGAAGACAGGCUUCAGGAGAAACCAAAGCUGUGGACACCUUGACCUUGGACUUCUCACCUCCAGAACUGUGAGGAAAUACAUUUCUGUUUUUAAGCCACCCAGUCUGGGGUACUUUGCAGCUUUAGCAAAUUGAUACAGUUGGGAGUUAAAGAGGUUCAUCACCACACUUAGGGCUACAGAGAGCUUUUCUCAGCUAAGAGGCCUUGUAGAAGGCCAUAGGGAGUCUGGCUCUCCAGGAUGCAACAACAGAGCCAACACUCUGUCUACCGCCCAGCUCCCUGCCAAGCUGUGCGGGGGGGGGGGGGGGGGGGGGGGGGGGGGGGGGUCACUUAUGCAAUAAUCAAAGUCAACCAACCCCACAACUUCUCACUAAAUUAAGUCAGACAGGUGAUUACCAACACAUGCUCUGUAUUUAAAUAUCACCCAAUGUUCUAUGCAUGGCUCCACAACAAAGAACCAUUCUUGGAGACCUUGCAAAACUCUGUUCCAGCAGAAUUGUCUAUAAAAAACAUCCUCUGAAGGUUAUCUCUCCUCAUUUACUUCCACUGUAAAACUGGAGAUGCUUUUUCUUACUCUGGAAAAAACUUCCAGGUCGUCAUUCCCACUGAGGAAGCGGUCAAUGGGGUCAUUACCCCUCCUGCUGAGUGUGACCUUGUACCAGAUAAGCCCCGAGAAUUCACCAGGUGUGCUGGCUUUCAGAAUUUUGCAAAGUUUUUCUGGAACCCCUGUUUCCUCUUUGCUGUGCUCUCCACUCACUGCUUAUUUCCAUGCUAUGUCUGUCGGUCUUACUACUGUGGAUCCUGGAGAUCGACAACAAAGCUUCAUGAAAUUGUACUUCAAUUUCUGUUAACCUAACCUUAACCUGUUAACUUUCAUUCUGUUAACCUAACCUUAACCUGCAAGACCUCAGUCUUGUAAAAUAAAUGUCCAGUAUUUCCAGUUCCAUGCACCUGAAAUUCUGCAUGAGGAAGUUCAUGACAUUGAUGAUUCUAGCAGAGUAGAUGAGAUUUCACAACCCAUGGACCCAGAGGUAUUACGUGCAACUCUCUUUAUUUCCCCAUAACUGGAUUCCCUCUCUAGCUUCCUCUCCUACCCGAUGGCAGAAAAGUUACUUCCAGGACAAUUCAGACAUGUCUGAGUUUUCAGACUUUUUCAAGUUCACAAUUCAAUUAAUUCAGCUUUGAGCUCUCCCUGCUUUCCCUAGGUGGGUCCAUACAAAGGGGGCUCAGCCGUGGGAGAGGACUCUUGCCCUUUGAACCUCUCUCUGUCUUAUGCUAGCUGAUGCUGAUAUGAGACCUGCUCCAUCCAGGCCACUAUGAUCAUUCCUUCCUUUGACAGCCUUGGCCAUCCUAAUCUGGGGUAUUGACAGACCGUGCUAGUUUUUUUCCUUAACCCCCAGGUCCCUUCGGGUCUCGGGCAACCCCUCUCCGGGGCACUGGCGCUAUGGGAUGCUCCCCAGGGGACGUUCCCAGCCUGGUCUUUCCAGUUUGGACAUUUUCCCCUUCACUGGCUCACCCUCCCCCAAGCUGGUGUCGUGUGGAAGGAAAUCAGGUCCGUGCACGCUUCCCAGGUCCUGCCAGGAAGGGGCCCAGGCUUCCUAAAGUUUUCCAGGAAAAGUCCUCCUCCCCCGCUACCCCCCAGCUCCGCCCUUCUGCGGGAGGGGGCAGCGUGGUUGGCUUUAAGCUUUAACUCUUCCCUCACAGCAGUGCUCCUUCUGUGUCUCACGCCAUCCGGAUCUCCGAUCUCCCGGGGAGGAGGCGGUGGUGGGAGGGACACAACCUCUGCCUCAUCAUAUCUUUUCCAAAUUUGUAUUUUCUUCGUCAGCACUGACCAAAUGGGCAUGCUUUGUUCUGAGUUCUUCUCCUGGAGGGUCCGUGACAAAUCUGAAUAUGUCCAAGGAAACAAUUGGGUCAACGAAGGAUGCUUAUCUUGGAGAAGGAAAAACCUCUCAGCAUGGUGGAGAAUGAGGUAACAUGAAGAAGUCUCAGGAAAAGAGAUUGGAACAGAAGUGGAUUUGCUAUGGCUUUCAUGGAAUAGAAGCUUCUGGGCCCCCCACCUGCACUAUCUUCUUUGAAGACUUCCACCUAAUAUCACGUUCAUCAUUGUUAUUCUUUUUUUUUCUGAAGGAGAGCCCUCCCCCCACCCCAAGUUGAAUAAGAUCAGCUCCACUAAUUCUGGAUCCACCCCUGAGCUAGAAUUAAUCUACAUAAUUCCUUGGGACAAAACUAGGAUUAAUAGUAGAAAGUUACAGUGAGGCAAACAUUGCUCAAGAUCUGGAAAUUCUCCCAGUUAGAGCUAUUAAAAAUUGGGAUGGGCUGCAGAAAACCAGAAAGUGCGUCAUUGGAUGCCUUGGGUAGAAGCGAAUGAGGCAGGGGUGUUGUAAGAGGGGCUGAUGAUCUCUCCCAACUCUAGGAAUCAAAGUCUCUGAGAUAAACUACAGAGAGGGCACUGAGACAGCAUUUGCUUGCCUAUGUAUUAAUAGUAGGGACCCCAAGUCCAAUAGCAGGGACCCCCAAGUCCAGGCACGUAUAGUUUGCUAGGUUUAAGUCACUGUAUUAAAAAAAAAAAGUAAUAAAAAUAUUCAGAAGCAUUCAGUGUUCCACGAUGAACUUUCUCAAACAUAUUCAAACCAGUAGGAAGUCACUGAAUCGAGUUGGCAAUAGACUCCUAAUCUAUUCCUCCUAAUCUCCUGCUCCUCCAGCCAUGCUCCCAGAUGCUGGAUUCCUUGCUCAAGAUCAGCUAGAGGCGUGGUUGUAUUCCUUCGGUAAGGUCUCCAGCGCAGAGAGAAGUGGCCAGCACCCCACCAUCACACUAAUGUUUGUUGCCGUUGAACUGUCAAGCGCAGUGGCCACUGGUCCUUUCAGGCACAUCAGUAGACGCUUCCUCAGGACGAACCACUGGCGAUCAUUUCACUACUAGUGAUGCCGUCAUAUGCUGCGGAUUACUGGCGUCCCAUUUUCAUCAGGAAGAACUUCAGCACUGCAUUCAAGGCCAAACACAUCCGUAUCCAUCCCAUAUUCUGACCUUUAAAAGUUUGUUUUCUUGGACCACUCACACCCGAUAUGACAUGGAUCAUGGUUCUCGGGACAGCAGAGACAACCCUAGGCAUUUCACUAGAGAGAAUUCAAUGUAGGAAAUUGGCUGUGCAGGUAAGAAGGCAAACACAGAAAAGUGUUUAGUGAGCAGAGAUAGUGGGGGCUGGCUCAGGAAACAAGGCAGAGGCUGGAUCACCAGAACCUGCCAGCUGGGAGGGGUGGCCUGAGGCGGGGAGCUGGGCCUCCAUGGAGAGCUGUUGCACAGGCAGGGCAGAGGCGUGGAAGAGGGGCCUUGAGGCCAGACUGCUGCCUGGUGGUGCUGUCACCUCUGCAAGACAUGGGCAGACUGGUUUGGGGGUCUGGAAAAGAGCUGGGAGUCUGCCAGUGUGAUGGUGACAAGAACAGCAGGCCAGCAGGUGGCCAUUCCCUCCUCAAGCCUUCCAGUGUCCUCUCAGUGCUCCCACUGGUGGGUCCUAAUGGGGAGCCAGCUGGCAAAGGGAAGUGUAUUUGCAGAGCCUUGACCUUGGCCUCAAACUGCAGAGCAGAGCAGGGCGGUGCUGAGCUGCGAGGCAAUGAUUUAAUAACUAGCACAGCCUCACCUGCCCGCAGGACACCCAGACCCCUCACCACCUGGCCUGCUGAUCACACUUGCCUUCCCCUCGUCUCCUUCCCUCCCCAAUGAGGGGGUGCAGUCCCUCCCCGCCAUCUCCCGGGGAGAACUGAUGAUGCCCACCUCGGGUUCCGUUGUACCUGCCCAGGUAAUUAAGAAAGCACUGGGAACACAUCAACAUGUCUGUUUCUCCCUGUUAAAAUCCUGAAGCCCCUUGAUGGAAAAGGGUGAGUUUUCAUCAUCGUGCCUCCAAAGCUAUGGUUGGCACAUAGCACAUACUUUAAAAACAUUUGUUGAGGGAGCGCCUGGGUAGCUCAGUCCGUUGAGCAGCUGACCUCUGACUUCGGUUCAGGUCAUGAUCUCAUCGGGCUAGCUGUUAUCUGCGCAGAAGCCACUUUGGAUCUUCUGUCCCUCCCUGGCCCCCUGCCCCUUCCCUGCUUAUGCUCUCUCUCAAAAAUAAAUAAAUCUUUAACAAACAAACAAAA
Leopardus geoffroyi (Geoffroy's cat) is the source of this 5247-nucleotide long non-coding RNA. RefSeq lists it as uncharacterized. The record is from RefSeq and is a predicted model, not a curated record. NCBI's taxonomy places the organism in Eukaryota, Metazoa, Chordata, Mammalia, Carnivora, Felidae. The transcript has 2 exons.